This 426-nucleotide ribosomal RNA is filed under the name uncultured bacterium. Its description in RNAcentral is "bacterial SSU rRNA". It matches the Rfam family "Bacterial small subunit ribosomal RNA", at positions 354 to 796 of the family's 1533-position model. The record is from RNAcentral.
GUGAGGAAUUUUCCGUAAUGGGCGAAAGCCUGACGGAGCAAUGCCGCGUGAAGGAUGAAGGCCUAUGGGUUGUAAACUUCUUUUCUCAGAAAAGAAUUAUGACGGUAUCUGAGGAAUAAGCAUCGGCUAACUCUGUGCCAGCAGCCGCGGUAAGACAGAGGAUGCAAGCGUUAUCCGGAAUGAUUGGGCGUAAAGCGUCUGUAGGUUGUUUAAAAAGUAUUCUGUCAAAGAUUAGGGCUUAACCCUAGAUAGGCAGAAUAAACUUUUAAGCUAGAGUUUGGUAGAGGCAGAGGGAAUUCCCGGUGGAGCGGUGAAAUGCGUAGAUAUCGGGAGGAACACCAAAGGCGAAGGCACUCUGCUGGGCCAAUACUAACACUGAGAGACGAAAGCGAGGGGAGCAAAUGGGAUUAGAAACCCUGGUAGUCC